Molecule: ribosomal RNA, 253 nt
Filed under: uncultured bacterium
Lineage: Bacteria
Description: partial 16S ribosomal RNA
Rfam family: Bacterial small subunit ribosomal RNA
Source: RNAcentral
UACGGAGGGUGCGAGCGUUGUCCGGAAUCAUUGGGCGUAAAGGGCGCGUAGGUGGCCCGGUCAGCGUGCGGUGAAAGCUCGGGGCUCAACCCCGAGUCGGCCGUGCGAACUGCUGGGCUGGAGCACUGUAGAGGCAGGCGGAAUUCCGGGUGUAGCGGUGGAAUGCGUAGAGAUCCGGAAGAACACCGGUGGCGAAGGCGGCCUGCUGGGCAGUGGCUGACACUGAGGCGCGAAAGCGUGGGUAGCAAACAGG